This is a long non-coding RNA of Malurus melanocephalus (red-backed fairy wren), 406 nucleotides long. RefSeq lists it as uncharacterized. The transcript has 4 exons. The record is from RefSeq and is a predicted model, not a curated record. NCBI's taxonomy places the organism in Eukaryota, Metazoa, Chordata, Aves, Passeriformes, Maluridae.
CGCUGACACUGAGGGUGGCCCGUGUCCCGCCCCAGGAAGACGCUGCAGGUGAAGAUCGUGGAUGACGAGGAGUACGAGAAGAAGGAGAAUUUCUUCAUCGAGCUGGGGACACCGCGCUGGCUCAAGCGUGGCAUCUCGGCUCUUCUGCUCGCCCAAGGUAGGAGCCUUCGGCCUCGGCCUCGGACCCGUCCCAUGACCAUGGAUGUCCCCAUGACCGUGGGACGGCGAGCGGCAGCUGUCGGCCGAGGAGGAGGAGGCGCGGCGCAUCGCCGAGAUGGGCAAACCCGUGCUGGGCGACAACCGGCGCCUCGAGGUGGUCAUCGAGGAGUCCUACGACUUCAAGAACACGGUGGACAAACUGAUGAAGAAAACCAACCUGGCCACCGUCAUCGGCACCCACUCGUGG